This 253-nucleotide ribosomal RNA is filed under the name uncultured bacterium. RNAcentral describes it as "partial 16S ribosomal RNA". It matches the Rfam family "Bacterial small subunit ribosomal RNA", at positions 524 to 776 of the family's 1533-position model. The record is from RNAcentral.
UACGGAGGGGGCGAGCGUUAUUCGGAAUUAUUGGGCGUAAAGGGCGCGUAGGCGGCUAGGUAAGUCAAAGGUGAAAUCCCUCGGCUCAACUGAGGAACUGCCUUUGAAACUGUCUAGCUCGAGGCCGGGAGGGGGUGGCGGAAUUCCCAGUGUAGCGGUGAAAUGCGCAGAUAUCAGGAAGAACACCCGUGGCUAAGGCGGCUCUCUAGUACGGUACUGACGCUGAGACGCGAAAGCGUGGGGAGCGAACAGG